CGUAGGGUGCGAGCGUUAAUCGGAAUUACUGGGCGUAAAGUGUGCGCAGGCGGCUCCGCAAGUCGAGUGUGAAAUCCCCGAGCUUAACUUGGGAAUUGCGCUCGAAACUACGGAACUGGAGUGUGGCAGAGGAAGGUGGAAUUCCACGUGUAGCGGUGAAAUGCGUAGAGAUGUGGAGGAACACCGAUGGCGAAGGCAGCCUUCUGGGCCAACACUGACGCUCAUGCACGAAAGCGAGGGGAGCAAACAGGAUUAGAUACCCUGGUAGUCCACGCCCUAAACGAUGAUGACUAGUUGUUGGAGGAGUUAAAUCCUUUAGUAACGCAGCUAACGCGUGAAGUCAUCCGCCUGGGGAGUACGGUCGCAAGAUUA
This 372-nucleotide ribosomal RNA is filed under the name uncultured organism. RNAcentral's name for it is "bacterial SSU rRNA". It matches the Rfam family "Bacterial small subunit ribosomal RNA", at positions 526 to 896 of the family's 1533-position model. The record is from RNAcentral.